Molecule: ribosomal RNA, 460 nt
Filed under: uncultured bacterium
Lineage: Bacteria
Description: partial 16S ribosomal RNA
Rfam family: Bacterial small subunit ribosomal RNA
Source: RNAcentral
CCUACGGGGGGCAGCAGUGAGGAAUAUUGGUCAAUGGACGAAAGUCUGAACCAGCCAAGUAGCGUGAAGGAUGACGGCCCUAUGGGUUGUAAACUGCUUUUAUAAAGGAAUAAAACGAGGCACGUGUGCCUUUUUGCAUGUACUUUAUCAAUAAGGAGCGGCUAACUCCGUGUCAGCAGCCGCGGUAAUACGGAGGAUGCGAGCGUGAUCCGGAUUUAUUGGGUUUAAAGGGAGCGUAGAUGGGUUGUUAAGUCAGUUGUGAAAGUUUGCGGCUCAACCGUAAAAUUGCAAUUGAUACUGGCAGUCUUGAGUACAGGUGAGGUAAGCGGAAUUCGUGGUGUAGCGGUGAAAUGCUUAGAGAUCACGAAGAACACCGAUUGCGAAGGCAGCUGACUAAACUGUGACUGACAUUGAUGCUCGAAAGUGUGGGUAUCAAACAGGAUUAGAUACCCCUGUAGUC